GGGUUGUGAGGUUAAGCGACUAAGCGUACACGGUGGAUGCCCUGGCAGUCAGAGGCGAUGAAGGACGUGCUAAUCUGCGAUAAGCGUCGGUAAGGUGAUAUGAACCGUUAUAACCGGCGAUUUCCGAAUGGGGAAACCCAGUGUGAUUCGUUACACUAUCAUUAACUGAAUC
This 172-nucleotide ribosomal RNA is filed under the name Escherichia coli. Its description in RNAcentral is "partial 23S ribosomal RNA". It matches the Rfam family "Bacterial large subunit ribosomal RNA", at positions 1 to 164 of the family's 2925-position model. The record is from RNAcentral. Lineage: Bacteria; Pseudomonadati; Pseudomonadota; Gammaproteobacteria; Enterobacterales; Enterobacteriaceae.